RNAcentral lists this ribosomal RNA (492 nucleotides) under uncultured bacterium. Its description in RNAcentral is "partial 16S ribosomal RNA". It matches the Rfam family "Bacterial small subunit ribosomal RNA", at positions 29 to 507 of the family's 1533-position model. The record is from RNAcentral.
AGUGAACGCUGGCGGUAGGCCUAACACGUGCAAGUCGAACGGCAGCACAGUAAGAGCUUGCUCUUACGGGUGGCGAGUGGCGGACGGGUGAGGAAUACAUCGUAAUCUACUUUUUCGUGGGGGAUAACGUAGGGAAACUUACGCUAAUACCGCAUACGACCUACGGGUGAAAGCAGGGGAUCUUCGGACCUUGCGCGAUUGAAUGAGCCGAUGUCGGAUUAGCUAGUUGGCGGGGUAAAGGCCCACCAAGGCGACGAUCCGUAGCUGGUCUGAGAGGAUGAUCAGCGACACUGGAACUGAGACACGGUCCAGACUCCUACGGGAGGCAGCAGUGGGGAAUAUGGGACAAUGGGCGCAAGCCUGAUCCAGCCAUACCGCGUGGGUGAAGAAGGCCUUCGGGUUGUAAAGCCCUUUUGUUGGGAAAGAAAAGCAGCAGGUUAAUACCCCGCUGUUCUGACGGUACCCAAAGAAUAAGCACCGGCUAACCUCGUG